CUGGGAAUUUUGCGCAAUGGCCGAAAGGCUGACGCAGCGACGCCGCGUGGGUGAGGAAGGUCUUCGGAUUGUAAAGCCCUUUCAGCAGGGACGAAAAAAAUGACGGUACCUGCAGAAGAAGCACCGGCUAACUCCGUGCCAGCAGCCGCGGUAAUACGGAGGGUGCAAGCGUUAUUCGGAUUUACUGGGCGUAAAGCGCGCGUAGGCGGUUCGUUAAGUCCGGUGUGAAAGCCCCCGACCUAAUCGGGGAAGUGCAUUGGAAACUGGCGGGCUAGAGUACAGGAGAGGAGAAUGGAAUUCCCGGUGUAGAGGUGAAAUUCGUAGAUAUCGGGAGGAACAACAGAGGCGAAGGCGAUUCUCUGGACUGUUACUGACGCUGAGGCGCGAAAGCGUGGGGAGCAAACAGG
RNAcentral lists this ribosomal RNA (407 nucleotides) under uncultured prokaryote. RNAcentral's name for it is "bacterial SSU rRNA". It matches the Rfam family "Bacterial small subunit ribosomal RNA", at positions 355 to 776 of the family's 1533-position model. RNAcentral also lists the same sequence under 1 other name. The record is from RNAcentral.